Molecule: non-coding RNA, 69 nt
Organism: Podarcis lilfordi (Lilford's wall lizard)
Lineage: Eukaryota; Metazoa; Chordata; Lepidosauria; Squamata; Lacertidae
Source: the annotation of a GenBank genome assembly
GGCAUAGCUCAAUGGUUGGAGCAUCUGCUUCAUAUUCAGAAGGUCCAGGUUCAACCCCCAGUGAAGUCA